This 2902-nucleotide ribosomal RNA is filed under the name Klebsiella pneumoniae. RNAcentral describes it as "23S ribosomal RNA". It matches the Rfam family "Bacterial large subunit ribosomal RNA". Lineage: Bacteria; Pseudomonadati; Pseudomonadota; Gammaproteobacteria; Enterobacterales; Enterobacteriaceae. The record is from RNAcentral.
GGUUAAGCGACUAAGCGUACACGGUGGAUGCCCUGGCAGUCAGAGGCGAUGAAGGACGUGCUAAUCUGCGAAAAGCGUCGGUAAGGUGAUAUGAACCGUUAUAGCCGGCGAUGUCCGAAUGGGGAAACCCAGUGCAAUUCGUUGCACUAUCGUUAACUGAAUACAUAGGUUAACGAGGCGAACCGGGGGAACUGAAACAUCUAAGUACCCCGAGGAAAAGAAAUCAACCGAGAUUCCCCCAGUAGCGGCGAGCGAACGGGGAGCAGCCCAGAGUCUGAAUCAGCUUGUGUGUUAGUGGAACGGUCUGGAAAGUCCGACGGUACAGGGUGAUAGUCCCGUACACCAAAAUGCACAGGCUGUGAACUCGAAGAGUAGGGCGGGACACGUGGUAUCCUGUCUGAAUAUGGGGGGACCAUCCUCCAAGGCUAAAUACUCCUGACUGACCGAUAGUGAACCAGUACCGUGAGGGAAAGGCGAAAAGAACCCCGGCGAGGGGAGUGAAAAAGAACCUGAAACCGUGUACGUACAAGCAGUGGGAGCACCUUCGGGUGUGACUGCGUACCUUUUGUAUAAUGGGUCAGCGACUUAUAUUCUGUAGCAAGGUUAACCGUAUAGGGGAGCCGCAGGGAAACCGAGUCUUAACUGGGCGUUAAGUUGCAGGGUAUAGACCCGAAACCCGGUGAUCUAGCCAUGGGCAGGUUGAAGGUUGGGUAACACUAACUGGAGGACCGAACCGACUAAUGUUGAAAAAUUAGCGGAUGACUUGUGGCUGGGGGUGAAAGGCCAAUCAAACCGGGAGAUAGCUGGUUCUCCCCGAAAGCUAUUUAGGUAGCGCCUCGUGAAUUCAUCUUCGGGGGUAGAGCACUGUUUCGGCUAGGGGGUCAUCCCGACUUACCAACCCGAUGCAAACUACGAAUACCGAAGAAUGUUAUCACGGGAGACACACGGCGGGUGCUAACGUCCGUCGUGAAGAGGGAAACAACCCAGACCGCCAGCUAAGGUCCCAAAGUCAUGGUUAAGUGGGAAACGAUGUGGGAAGGCACAGACAGCCAGGAUGUUGGCUUAGAAGCAGCCAUCAUUUAAAGAAAGCGUAAUAGCUCACUGGUCGAGUCGGCCUGCGCGGAAGAUGUAACGGGGCUAAACCAUGCACCGAAGCUGCGGCAGCGACACUAUGUGUUGUUGGGUAGGGGAGCGUUCUGUAAGCCUGCGAAGGUGUGCUGUGAGGCAUGCUGGAGGUAUCAGAAGUGCGAAUGCUGACAUAAGUAACGAUAAAGCGGGUGAAAAGCCCGCUCGCCGGAAGACCAAGGGUUCCUGUCCAACGUUAAUCGGGGCAGGGUGAGUCGACCCCUAAGGCGAGGCCGAAAGGCGUAGUCGAUGGGAAACAGGUUAAUAUUCCUGUACUUGGUGUUACUGCGAAGGGGGGACGGAGAAGGCUAUGUUAGCCGGGCGACGGUUGUCCCGGUUUAAGCAUGUAGGCUGGUUGUCCAGGCAAAUCCGGAUAAUCAAGGCUGAGGUGUGAUGACGAGGCACUACGGUGCUGAAGUAACAAAUGCCCUGCUUCCAGGAAAAGCCUCUAAGCAUCAGGUAACAUUAAAUCGUACCCCAAACCGACACAGGUGGUCAGGUAGAGAAUACCAAGGCGCUUGAGAGAACUCGGGUGAAGGAACUAGGCAAAAUGGUGCCGUAACUUCGGGAGAAGGCACGCUGGUGUGUAGGUGAAGUCCCUGCGGAUGGAGCUGAGACCAGUCGAAGAUACCAGCUGGCUGCAACUGUUUAUUAAAAACACAGCACUGUGCAAACACGAAAGUGGACGUAUACGGUGUGACGCCUGCCCGGUGCCGGAAGGUUAAUUGAUGGGGUUAUCCGUAAGGAGAAGCUCUUGAUCGAAGCCCCGGUAAACGGCGGCCGUAACUAUAACGGUCCUAAGGUAGCGAAAUUCCUUGUCGGGUAAGUUCCGACCUGCACGAAUGGCGUAAUGAUGGCCAGGCUGUCUCCACCCGAGACUCAGUGAAAUUGAACUCGCUGUGAAGAUGCAGUGUACCCGCGGCAAGACGGAAAGACCCCGUGAACCUUUACUAUAGCUUGACACUGAACAUUGAGCCUUGAUGUGUAGGAUAGGUGGGAGGCUUUGAAGCGUGGACGCCAGUCUGCGUGGAGCCAACCUUGAAAUACCACCCUUUAAUGUUUGAUGUUCUAACGUUGGCCCCUGACCGGGGUUGCGGACAGUGUCUGGUGGGUAGUUUGACUGGGGCGGUCUCCUCCCAAAGCGUAACGGAGGAGCACGAAGGUUAGCUAAUCCUGGUCGGACAUCAGGAGGUUAGUGCAAUGGCAUAAGCUAGCUUGACUGCGAGCGUGACGGCGCGAGCAGGUGCGAAAGCAGGUCAUAGUGAUCCGGUGGUUCUGAAUGGAAGGGCCAUCGCUCAACGGAUAAAAGGUACUCCGGGGAUAACAGGCUGAUACCGCCCAAGAGUUCAUAUCGACGGCGGUGUUUGGCACCUCGAUGUCGGCUCAUCACAUCCUGGGGCUGAAGUAGGUCCCAAGGGUAUGGCUGUUCGCCAUUUAAAGUGGUACGCGAGCUGGGUUUAGAACGUCGUGAGACAGUUCGGUCCCUAUCUGCCGUGGGCGCUGGAGAAUUGAGGGGGGCUGCUCCUAGUACGAGAGGACCGGAGUGGACGCAUCACUGGUGUUCGGGUUGUCAUGCCAAUGGCACUGCCCGGUAGCUAAAUGCGGAAGAGAUAAGUGCUGAAAGCAUCUAAGCACGAAACUUGCCCCGAGAUGAGUUCUCCCUGAGACUUUAAGUCUCCUGAAGGAACGUUAAAGACGAUGACGUUGAUAGGCCGGGUGUGUAAGCGCAGCGAUGCGUUGAGCUAACCGGUACUAAUGAACCGUGAGGCUUAACCUU